UAUAAAAUGCCGGUAGUGAACGCGAAUGGCAGUGGAUCAUACAUACACAUUCAGACUUUGGGUGGGAAGAUCCAAAGUCAAGAGGGAAACAGCCCAGAGGUGAAGCUAAGGUACCUAAUAAAUA
This 124-nucleotide ribosomal RNA is filed under the name Gonium pectorale. RNAcentral's name for it is "large subunit ribosomal RNA fragment L4". The record is from RNAcentral. Lineage: Eukaryota; Viridiplantae; Chlorophyta; Chlorophyceae; Chlamydomonadales; Volvocaceae.